This 351-nucleotide unclassified non-coding RNA is filed under the name Hevea brasiliensis (rubber tree). Lineage: Eukaryota; Viridiplantae; Streptophyta; Magnoliopsida; Malpighiales; Euphorbiaceae. The record is from RNAcentral.
AGAAAAUAUAGGAGAAGCGAGCAAAAUGAGGUCUAAAAUUCUUGAUUUUUAUUAUUUGGGAUCUCAGAGACACUAAACCUUUAAUGAACUAGGCCUAAUUCAACUAUUUUUCCUCGUUAUGGCUUUCAGUUGCUCAAAAACAAAACUCACAAAAAGUGAUUGGUUAAAAAAAAUGUUGUGAAGAUUUCUUUUGUCACCGUAUGCUGUAAAGUGAUGCGCUGCAAUACAAUUGCUGAGAUCCUCUUGUUUUUCUCCCUCGUUUUUGUUUAUUGUUAAAGAUAUUGUAGCUUAUAAUAAUGAGUAUGAUUUGUGACACUGGAUUCACAGGAAAUGAAAUUCGGCUGGCAAAUU